This is a small nucleolar RNA of Otolemur garnettii (small-eared galago), 133 nucleotides long. NCBI's taxonomy places the organism in Eukaryota, Metazoa, Chordata, Mammalia, Primates, Galagidae. The record is from Ensembl.
GCGCUGCCUUUGAUUCCUCGCCGCACCUUCGCGUGGCGUCGGGGGUCGGGCUGUAGCGCCAGAGCAUGUGCUCGGGCAUAACUGGGGCCGCCUAAACCCCUAAGGGCGGCCCUUUUAACCACGAGCAACAUGA